UGCUGGUCUGAGUGCAGUGGUGUUUUCAACUAAUUGAUCACAACCAGUUACAGAUUGCUUUGUUAUGUUACACUCCCACUUCACUUAACUAGCAAAAA
This 98-nucleotide Y RNA is filed under the name Carlito syrichta (Philippine tarsier). RNAcentral's name for it is "Y RNA (ENSTSYG00000021503.2)". It matches the Rfam family "Y RNA". From Rfam's summary of the family: Y RNAs are components of the Ro ribonucleoprotein particle (Ro RNP), in association with Ro60 and La proteins. Lineage: Eukaryota; Metazoa; Chordata; Mammalia; Primates; Tarsiidae. The record is from Rfam by way of RNAcentral.